RNAcentral lists this ribosomal RNA (800 nucleotides) under uncultured bacterium. RNAcentral's name for it is "bacterial SSU rRNA". It matches the Rfam family "Bacterial small subunit ribosomal RNA", at positions 8 to 805 of the family's 1533-position model. The record is from RNAcentral.
AGAGUUUGAUCCUGGCUCAGGAUGAACGCUAGCGGCAGGCUUAAUACAUGCAAGUCGAACGGUAAGGUCUCUUCGGAGAUACACGAGUGGCGCACGGGUGCGUAACGCGUAUGUAACCUACCUUUAACUGGGAAAUAGCCCCGAGAAAUCGGGAUUAAUGUCCCAUACUAUUCUGAGAAUGCAUAUUCUUAGAAUGAAAGCUCCGGCGGUUAUUGAUGGGCAUGCGUGACAUUAGCUAGUUGGUGAGGUAACGGCUCACCAAGGCUACGAUGUCUAGGGGUCCUGAGAGGGUUAACCCCCACACUGGUACUGAGACACGGACCAGACUCCUACGGGAGGCAGCAGUAAGGAAUAUUGGGCAAUGGACGCAAGUCUGACCCAGCCAUGCCGCGUGAAGGAUGAAUGUCCUAUGGAUUGUAAACUUCUUUUAUGCAGGAAAAAUAUCCCGGUCGUGAACCGGGACUGAUGGUACUGUAUGAAUAAGCAUCGGCUAACUCCGUGCCAGCAGCCGCGGUAAUACGGAGGAUGCAAGCGUUAUCCGGAUUCAUUGGGUUUAAAGGGUGCGCAGGGCGGAAUGAUAAGUCAGUGGUGAAAUCUCCCGGCUCAACCGGGAAACUGCCAUUGAUACUGCCAUUCUAGAGUACAGUUGAAGUGGGCGGAAUGUGUCAUGUAGCGGUGAAAUGCUUAGAUAUGACACAGAACACCGAUAGCGAAGGCAGCUCACUAAGCUGUAACUGACGCUCAUGCACGAAAGCGUGGGGAUCAAACAGGAUUAGAUACCCUGGUAGUCCACGCUGUAA